Molecule: ribosomal RNA, 1473 nt
Filed under: uncultured bacterium
Lineage: Bacteria
Description: bacterial SSU rRNA
Rfam family: Bacterial small subunit ribosomal RNA
Source: RNAcentral
GUUUGAUCCUGGCUCAGGACGAACGCUGGCGGCGUGCUUAACACAUGCAAGUCGAACGGUAAGGCCCUUCGGGGUACACGAGUGGCGAACGGGUGAGUAACACGUGGGUGAUCUGCCCUGCACUUCGGGAUAAGCCUGGGAAACUGGGUCUAAUACCGGAUAGGACUCCUGGCUUCAUGGUUGGGGGUGUAAAGCUUUUGCGGUGUGGGAUGGGCCCGCGGCCUAUCAGCUUGUUGGUGGGGUAAUGGCCUACCAAGGCGACGACGGGUAGCCGGCCUGAGAGGGUGACCGGCCACACUGGGACUGAGAUACGGCCCAGACUCCUACGGGAGGCAGCAGUGGGGAAUAUUGCACAAUGGGCGCAAGCCUGAUGCAGCGACGCCGCGUGAGGGAUGACGGCCUUCGGGUUGUAAACCUCUUUCAAUAGGGACGAAGCGCAAGUGACGGUACCUAUAGAAGAAGGACCGGCCAACUACGUGCCAGCAGCCGCGGUAAUACGUAGGGUCCGAGCGUUGUCCGGAAUUACUGGGCGUAAGAGCUCGUAGGUGGUUUGUCGCGUUGUCCGUGAAAACUCACAGCUUAACUGUGGGCGUGCGGGCGAUACGGGCAGACUGGAGUACUGCAGGGGAGACUGGAAUUCCUGGUGUAGCGGUGGAAUGCGCAGAUAUCAGGAGGAACACCGGUGGCGAAGGCGGGUCUCUGGGCAGUAACUGACGCUGAGGAGCGAAAGCGUGGGGAGCGAACAGGAUUAGAUACCCUGGUAGUCCACGCCGUAAACGGUGGGUACUAGGUGUGGGUUUCCUUCCUUGGGAUCCGUGCCGUAGCUAACGCAUUAAGUACCCCGCCUGGGGAGUACGGCCGCAAGGCUAAAACUCAAAGAAAUUGACGGGGGCCCGCACAAGCGGCGGAGCAUGUGGAUUAAUUCGAUGCAACGCGAAGAACCUUACCUGGGUUUGACAUGCACAGGACGCCGGCAGAGAUGUCGGUUCCCUUGUGGCCUGUGUGCAGGUGGUGCAUGGCUGUCGUCAGCUCGUGUCGUGAGAUGUUGGGUUAAGUCCCGCAACGAGCGCAACCCUUGUCUCAUGUUGCCAGCACGUAAUGGUGGGGACUCGUGAGAGACUGCCGGGGUCAACUCGGAGGAAGGUGGGGAUGACGUCAAAUCAUCAUGCCCCUUAUGACCUGGGCUACACACGUGCUACAAUGGACGGUACAAAGGGUUGCCAACCCGCGAGGGGGAGCCAAUCCCAGAAAACCGUUCUCAGUUCGGAUUGUAGGCUGCAACUCGCCUGCAUGAAGCCGGAAUCGCUAGUAAUCGUGGAUCAGCAUGCCACGGUGAAUACGUUCCCGGGCCUUGUACACGCCGCCCGUCACACCACGAGAGUUUGUAACACCCGAAGUCGGUGAGGUAACCCUUGUGGAGCCAGCCGCCGAAGGUGGGACGGAUGAUUGGGGUGAAGUCGUAACAAGGUAACC